GCAAACUUGGUCAUUUAGAGGAAGUAAAAGUCGUAACAAGGUUUCCGUAGGUGAACCUGCGGAAGGAUCAUUACAAAUCCAUCCCUAUUACAUACAAUACCACGUUGAACUGAACGAACGAGCUCCCCUCCCUCCUUCCCUUCCCCUCCCCUCUCCUCUCAACAAGGCAAGGGAGAAGAAGGGGGGGGGUGGAGAGAGGAGGAGGAGGAGAGAGGGGGAGAGAGGGGGAGAGAGAGAAAAGACGCGACGACAAUGCGAUGCAUAUGCGUAUUGAUUGUCGGAUCGAUGAUCUCUCUCGAUCUCUCUCCACAUCCCUUCCUCUCUCUCUCUUUUACACUUGUACUUUCACAUGUUGUGCAAAUGGUAUUUAUAUUAUCCAUCACACAAACACAACUUAUAACAAUGGAUCUCUGGGCUCUUGCAUCGAUGAAGAACGCAGC
Molecule: unclassified non-coding RNA, 440 nt
Filed under: uncultured fungus
Lineage: Eukaryota; Fungi
Description: partial contains small subunit ribosomal RNA, internal transcribed spacer 1, and 5.8S ribosomal RNA
Rfam family: Eukaryotic small subunit ribosomal RNA (bases 1-73)
Source: RNAcentral